This 91-nucleotide transfer RNA is filed under the name Dreissena polymorpha. It matches the Rfam family "tRNA". From Rfam's summary of the family: Transfer RNA (tRNA) molecules are approximately 80 nucleotides in length. Lineage: Eukaryota; Metazoa; Mollusca; Bivalvia; Myida; Dreissenidae. The record is from Rfam by way of RNAcentral.
GCCGGAAUAGCUCAGUUGGGAGAGCGUUAGACUGAAGUUGUUUACGCAACAGUCAUCUUAAGGCCCCACAAUUCAAUACCGGGUUCCGGCA